GGCUUAAACUCGAAAUAUAUUAUAACUAUAGUAAUUGUAAAUGGCUCGGUACAGAGCACACGCAACCUCGAGGAAGAGCAAACCAUCUGGAAAAGACAGAAGGUGGAGGGAAAAAUAAAGCUUGACUACGAGAUCAACUCUGCUUCUGACCAACUAUAAGUGCCUUUACGAUAGCUUCACUCAUUCCAUCAGCAUAAGGGAGCAAAUGCCCGGCUCCGGGUAGCUCGUGGUACUCAAUCCACGGUAGCUUCUGCGCAAUGUGCCGUUGAAGUAAAAUGGGGACUAGCCUAUCCUCAUCGCCUUGCCACGGAUGGACCGAUAACUUCCUUGUUCGGGAGAGGGUUCUCAAUUUCCAUGGGAUAGAACUCUCAGCUCCCGAAACCGACCAUCAUGUUCUGAUGGAUGGACUCGGCCUCUCCUUGUUGCCUCGAAUUCACCCUCGGCUGCAUAACAAAAGAACAAGGCCAGUUAUCUUACAAGUUUGCUUUUGGCUAGGAUUAAUUUAACCAGCUGUUAGUAGUCAUGCCGUGAGUGA
This 535-nucleotide long non-coding RNA is filed under the name Eucalyptus grandis. Its description in RNAcentral is "long non-coding RNA (EGRA_LNC004421)". Lineage: Eukaryota; Viridiplantae; Streptophyta; Magnoliopsida; Myrtales; Myrtaceae. The record is from RNAcentral.